RNAcentral lists this microRNA precursor (66 nucleotides) under Bombyx mori (domestic silkworm). RNAcentral's name for it is "mir-2774 microRNA precursor family". It matches the Rfam family "mir-2774 microRNA precursor family". The record is from Rfam by way of RNAcentral. Lineage: Eukaryota; Metazoa; Arthropoda; Insecta; Lepidoptera; Bombycidae.
AAGAAUUUGGACCGUCGGCCUACCGAGAAAUCACACCCGCUCGGUGGAAGAUCUUCUUUUUGUCGA